Molecule: transfer RNA, 67 nt
Filed under: human gut metagenome
Also listed under: 1 other name
Rfam family: tRNA
About the family: Transfer RNA (tRNA) molecules are approximately 80 nucleotides in length. Their secondary structure includes four short double-helical elements and three loops (D, anti-codon, and T loops).
Source: RNAcentral
AGCGUAGCUCAGUUGGUUAGAGCGAUCGGCUCAUACCCGGUAUGUCGAGGGUUCGAGUCCCCCCGCU